CUUUGUUGCCAGCGAUUAGGUCGGGAACUCAAAGGAGACUGCCAGUGAUAAACUGGAGGAAGGUGGGGAUGACGUCAAGUCAUCAUGGCCCUUACGACCAGGGCUACACACGUGCUACAAUGGCGCAUACAAAGAGAAGCGACCUCGCGAGAGCAAGCGGACCUCAUAAAGUGCGUCGUAGUCCGGAUUGGAGUCUGCAACUCGACUCCAUGAAGUCGGAAUCGCUAGUAAUCGUGGAUCAGAAUGCCACGGUGAAUACGUUCCCGGGCCUUGUACACACCGCCCGUCACACCAUGGGAGUGGGUUGCAAAAGAAGUAGGUAGCUUAACCUUCGGGAGGGCGCUUACCACUUUGUGAUUCAUGACUGGGGUGAAGUCGUAACAAGGUAACCGUAGGGGAACCUGCGGUUGGAUCACCUCCUU
This 422-nucleotide ribosomal RNA is filed under the name Salmonella enterica subsp. enterica serovar Virchow. RNAcentral's name for it is "bacterial SSU rRNA". It matches the Rfam family "Bacterial small subunit ribosomal RNA", at positions 1110 to 1532 of the family's 1533-position model. The record is from RNAcentral. Lineage: Bacteria; Pseudomonadati; Pseudomonadota; Gammaproteobacteria; Enterobacterales; Enterobacteriaceae.